RNAcentral lists this ribosomal RNA (641 nucleotides) under Phrynoderma hexadactylum (Indian five-fingered frog). RNAcentral's name for it is "partial 16S ribosomal RNA". It matches the Rfam family "Bacterial large subunit ribosomal RNA", at positions 1916 to 2628 of the family's 2925-position model. Lineage: Eukaryota; Metazoa; Chordata; Amphibia; Anura; Dicroglossidae. The record is from RNAcentral.
GACACUGAUUCACGGCCGCGGUAUCCAGCACGGUGCGAAGGUAGCAUAAUCACUUGUUCUUUAAAUGGGGACUAGUAUGAAAGGCACCACGAGGGCUUUACUGUCUCCUUUCUCCAAUCAGUGAAACUGAUCUCCCUGUGAAAAAGCAGGAAUAUUGAUAUAAGACGAGAAGACCCCAUGGAGCUUUAAACCCAAUGACACCCCGAACACUCCCAACCCAUUAGAGUUUUAUAAGUACUGUCCAUUGGUUUUAGGUUGGGGUGACCGCGGAGAACAAAAUAACCUCCAUGACGAACGGGACUAACCCCUAAUCCAAGAGCCACAGCUCUAAGAAUUAACAUAUUAACGUUAACUGAUCCAAUCAAUUGAUCAACGAACCAAGUUACCCUGGGGAUAACAGCGCAAUCCAUUUUGAGAGCCCCUAUCGAAAAAUGGGUUUACGACCUCGAUGUUGGAUCAGGGUACCCAGGUGGUGCAGCCGCUACCAAUGGUUUGUUUGUUCAACAAUUAAAACCCUACGUGAUCUGAUUUCAGACCGGAGGAUCGACUGUUUAUCAAAAACAUAUACGUGAUCUGAGUUCAGACCGGAGCGACUGUUUAUCAAAACAUAUACGUGAUUUUAUUUCAGAAACGGAGCGCCU